This 69-nucleotide non-coding RNA is filed under the name Enterococcus phoeniculicola ATCC BAA-412. RNAcentral describes it as "Enterococcus sRNA 64". It matches the Rfam family "Enterococcus sRNA 64". Rfam says of the family: Name 'Ref' stands for RNA in E. faecalis. The record is from Rfam by way of RNAcentral. Lineage: Bacteria; Bacillati; Bacillota; Bacilli; Lactobacillales; Enterococcaceae.
UAAAGUACUCGCAUCUUUUCUGAUUAGGUGUAGUCACUUAAAUCUUACAUGGACGAGUGCUUUAUAUGA